AUUGACGUUAUUGGAACAUUUGUGAUAAGGUUGGAAGCAUUUUGAGGUACGUUGAAACUUACUACCCUCAGAACUUUUCUCCAAACUCAUAUCGAAACACGAUUAAACUGAGUUUCAAAAUGUGAGUCCUAGCUUGUGGGGACGAGUGAGUUGGGAUUUAUUUUAUCUUAAUUGAAGAAAAAAAACUAAAUAAAUAAGGAAUAGAACUUGUAGUAUUUUGAAAUGAAAAUACAUGAGUUGCAAAAUAUCUUGGAUAUAGCUAUUCUCAAAUAGUUGAUUUGGCUAUAAAUAUCAUCAUUGAUAAAUGUAAAGGUUUUGGGAGUUACUUAAAUUCACCGAGAUUGACCUUGGACAUUUUUCCUCAUUAGGUCAUGAAACUACAUGUGCCGGUGUAGGCGUAGAACCUACUUUACGAUUGGGGACUACAACAGAGUACUUCCCAUUAGGGGUACUAUUGUGCUACUUUAUUAGCAUGGUUGAGUCGAUUUGUGCGGCACAACGAUGAGACGACCUGAGCAAGUAGGGUAUAUGAUACUUGCCGCUAUGUACAUAACCUAGUUGACCUUCUUUCGUGUCGGUGAUGGUAUAGUGAUCCUGGUAAAUGAAAAAUCUAACAUGAUUUUGCAAAGAUCAAUGAUAAAGGAAGACUUUGAAAUAUGUUUUACCAUAUUAUUUUAUUGUACUUUUAAAUUGUUAAUUGAUAUGAAUACUUCUUUCUUGAUAUCAAUUAUUAUUGCAUAUCUUAUGUCUUCUUAAAUAUCGUCCUAUUUUCUUUUUGGGAAAUGAUUCAUGAUUCGUACUAGGCAUGUGGAGCUUAGGCCUUUCGGCCACAUUUGCAUUUUCUAUUUUCAGGGACUGGACAUGAGUAACUUGGACCGCAUGGAUAGGGUAGCUCUACAUUUUCCGUUGACGUUAUUUGGUGAGACUCCACGCUUGUAUUUGUGGAGGACUUUAUUAUAUUAAUAUCCUUUUAAGCCACCGGGUUAUGCCUUGACUGACUAUUCCAGUUCGUGUCAUAGAGAUUUCAUAGACAACAAUAGUAUUCAUUUUGGGUUGUAAUCCUAUGGUUACUUGCAUGGCGUGCAUGAAC
This 1090-nucleotide long non-coding RNA is filed under the name Nicotiana tabacum (common tobacco). Its description in RNAcentral is "long non-coding RNA (NTAB_LNC007948)". The record is from RNAcentral. Lineage: Eukaryota; Viridiplantae; Streptophyta; Magnoliopsida; Solanales; Solanaceae.